AGAAUCAACGCUGGCGGCGUGCCUAACACAUGCAAGUCGAACGAGAAGGUGGAGCAAUCCAUGAGUAAAGUGGCGCACGGGUGAGUAACACGUGAAUGAUCUACCUCCGAGUGGGGAAUAACUGAGAGAAAUCUUAGCUAAUACCGCAUAACACUUACGAGUCAAAGCAGCAAUGCGCUUGGAGAGGAGUUCGCGGCCGAUUAGUUAGUUGGCGGGGUAAUGGCCCACCAAGACGAUGAUCGGGUA
This 246-nucleotide ribosomal RNA is filed under the name uncultured bacterium. Its description in RNAcentral is "partial small subunit ribosomal RNA". It matches the Rfam family "Bacterial small subunit ribosomal RNA", at positions 26 to 286 of the family's 1533-position model. The record is from RNAcentral.